GCUCCCGCGGCCCGAAUGAGGUUUCCGGUACCAAAGGUCGCAGGUUCGAUUCCUGUCGGGGGCACCA
This 67-nucleotide transfer RNA is filed under the name Microbacterium sp. BE35. RNAcentral describes it as "tRNA-Thr". Lineage: Bacteria; Bacillati; Actinomycetota; Actinomycetes; Micrococcales; Microbacteriaceae. The record is from RNAcentral.